UCUAAUCAAAUGUAUUUUGCAUUUAGAUUUUUCGUUUCUAAGGGUUACAAUAUUUGUAACGGUUAGUG
RNAcentral lists this transfer RNA (68 nucleotides) under Schistosoma indicum. RNAcentral's name for it is "tRNA-Glu". Lineage: Eukaryota; Metazoa; Platyhelminthes; Trematoda; Strigeidida; Schistosomatidae. The record is from RNAcentral.